AAAGGACCUGAGUGAAACACAAGAUGGCAAAAAAGUGGGAGGAAAAUUGAAAUAAUGGCAGCAGUUCUGCUGUACUUAA
Molecule: long non-coding RNA, 79 nt
Organism: Loxodonta africana (African savanna elephant)
Lineage: Eukaryota; Metazoa; Chordata; Mammalia; Proboscidea; Elephantidae
Rfam family: ST7 overlapping transcript 3 conserved region 1
Source: Rfam